GAUGAACGCUGGCGGCGUGCCUAAUACAUGCAAGUCGAGCGAACGGACGAGAAGCUUGCUUCUCUGAUGUUAGCGGCGGACGGGUGAGUAACACGUGGAUAACCUACCUAUAAGACUGGGAUAACUUCGGGAAACCGUAGCUAAUACCGGAUAAUAUUUUGAACCGCAUGGUUCAAAAGUGAAAGACGGUCUUGCUGUCACUUAUUGAUGGAUCCGCGCUGCAUUAGCUAGUUGGUAAGGUAACGGCUUACCAAGGCAACGAUGCAUAGCCGACCUGAGAGGGUGAUCGGCCACACUGGAACUGAGACACGGUCCAGACUCCUACGGGAGGCAGCAGUAGGGAAUCUUCCGCAAUGGGCGAAAGCCUGACGGAGCAACGCCGCGCGAGUGAUGAAGGUCUUCGGAUCGUAAAACUCUGUUAUUAGGGAAGAACAUAUGUGUAAGUAACUGUGCACAUCUUGACGGUACCUAAUCAGAAAGCCACGGCUAACUACGUG
RNAcentral lists this ribosomal RNA (497 nucleotides) under uncultured bacterium. RNAcentral describes it as "partial 16S ribosomal RNA". It matches the Rfam family "Bacterial small subunit ribosomal RNA", at positions 28 to 507 of the family's 1533-position model. The record is from RNAcentral.